UACGUAGAUGGCGAGCGUUAUUCGGAUUUACUGGGCGUAAAGGGUCCGCAGGGGGCCUGUCAAGCCCGCCGUGAAACCCCGGGGCUCAACCCCGGGACUGCGGUGGGGACUGCCGGGCUAGAGUGUGUGAUGGGCAGACGGAACACCUGGUGUAGCGGUGGAAUGCGUAGAUAUCAGGUGGAACACCGAUGGCGAAGGCGGUCUGCUGGCACAUCACUGACCCUCAGGGACGAAAGCGUGGGUAGCGAACAGGAUUAGAUACCCUGGUAGUCCACGCCGUAAACGUUGAGUACUAGACGUCCGGGGGCUGACCCCCCGGGUGUCCAAGCAAACGCGAUAAGUACUCCGCCUGGGGACUACGGCCGCAAGGCUAAA
This 375-nucleotide ribosomal RNA is filed under the name uncultured bacterium. RNAcentral's name for it is "bacterial SSU rRNA". It matches the Rfam family "Bacterial small subunit ribosomal RNA", at positions 524 to 898 of the family's 1533-position model. The record is from RNAcentral.